Rhizoclosmatium globosum is the source of this 72-nucleotide transfer RNA. It matches the Rfam family "tRNA". From Rfam's summary of the family: Transfer RNA (tRNA) molecules are approximately 80 nucleotides in length. Their secondary structure includes four short double-helical elements and three loops (D, anti-codon, and T loops). Lineage: Eukaryota; Fungi; Chytridiomycota; Chytridiomycetes; Chytridiales; Chytriomycetaceae. The record is from Rfam.
GGCCUUAUGGUCUAGUAGUAUGAUUCUCGCUUUGGGUGCGAGAGGUCCUGGGUUCAAUUCCCAGUGAGGCCC